RNAcentral lists this transfer RNA (76 nucleotides) under Candidatus Berkelbacteria bacterium. RNAcentral describes it as "tRNA-Arg". It matches the Rfam family "tRNA". Rfam says of the family: Transfer RNA (tRNA) molecules are approximately 80 nucleotides in length. Their secondary structure includes four short double-helical elements and three loops (D, anti-codon, and T loops). Lineage: Bacteria; Candidatus Berkelbacteria. The record is from RNAcentral.
GUUCCCGUAGCUUAAUGGAUAAAGCGUCGGCCUCCGAAGCCGAAGACUGUGGGUUCGACUCCCGCCGGGAACACCA